UACGGACAUAUCUCGUUGAAACAUCGGUUCCAGUAUGAUCACCGAAGUUAAGAAACGUCGAGACGGGUCAGUACCUAGACGGGUGACUUCUUGGGAAUACCAAGUGCUA
Non-coding RNA from Acanthosepion pharaonis, 109 nucleotides. The record is from the annotation of a GenBank genome assembly. NCBI's taxonomy places the organism in Eukaryota, Metazoa, Mollusca, Cephalopoda, Sepiida, Sepiidae.